Molecule: ribosomal RNA, 323 nt
Filed under: uncultured bacterium
Lineage: Bacteria
Description: bacterial SSU rRNA
Rfam family: Bacterial small subunit ribosomal RNA
Source: RNAcentral
GAUGAACGCUGGCGGCGUGCUUAACACAUGCAAGUCGAACGGGACUUGUUAAGUUGAAACUUCGGUCGAUUCUUUUCAAGUCUAGUGGCGGACGGGUGAGUAACGCGUGGGUAACCUGCCUCACACUGGGGGAUAACAGUCAGAAAUGACUGCUAAUACCGCAUAAGCGCACAGCAUCGCAUGAUGCAGUGUGAAAAACUCCGGUGGUGUGAGAUGGACCCGCGUUGGAUUAGCUAGUUGGCAGGGCAGCGGCCUACCAAGGCGACGAUCCAUAGCCGGCCUGAGAGGGUGAACGGCCACAUUGGGACUGAGACACGGCCCAG